AUUGAACGCUGGCGGCAGGCCUAACACAUGCAAGUCGAGCGAGCGGCGGACGGGUGAGCAAUGUCUGGGUAACUGCCCGAUGGAGGGGGAUAACUACUGGAAACGGUAGCUAAUACCGCAUACCAUCGGAGGUGCCCAGAUGGGAUGAGCUAGUAGGUGGGGUAAAGGCUCACCUAGGCGACGAUCCCUAGCUGGGCUGAGAGGAUGACCAGCCACACUGGAACUGAGACACGGUCCAGACUCCUACGGGAGGCAGCAGUGGGGAAUAUUGCACAAUGGGCGCAAGCCUGAUGCAGCCAUGCCGCGUGUAUGAAGAAGGCCUUCGGGUUGUAAAGUACUUUCAGCGGGGAGGCGUUACCCGCAGAAGAAGCACCGGCUAACUCCGGGCCAGCAGCCGCGGUAAUAC
Molecule: ribosomal RNA, 406 nt
Filed under: uncultured bacterium
Lineage: Bacteria
Description: partial 16S ribosomal RNA
Rfam family: Bacterial small subunit ribosomal RNA
Source: RNAcentral